This 88-nucleotide microRNA precursor is filed under the name Equus caballus (horse). RNAcentral describes it as "mir-9014 microRNA precursor family". It matches the Rfam family "mir-9014 microRNA precursor family". Lineage: Eukaryota; Metazoa; Chordata; Mammalia; Perissodactyla; Equidae. The record is from Rfam by way of RNAcentral.
GGAGCCAUAGGGAGGGAUACCAAUCCAACGUUAGGAAAAGAAACCUGCCACAGGAGUCUUGGCGAUUGACAACUGUCCUAAUGAUUUA